This 250-nucleotide ribosomal RNA is filed under the name uncultured bacterium. RNAcentral's name for it is "partial 16S ribosomal RNA". It matches the Rfam family "Bacterial small subunit ribosomal RNA", at positions 15 to 263 of the family's 1533-position model. The record is from RNAcentral.
GAUCCUGGCUCAGGACGAACGCUGGCGGCGUGCCUAACACAUGCAAGUCGAACGGAAGUUAGAGCUUCGGUUUUAACUUUAGUGGCGAACGGGUGAGUAACGCGUGAGGAACCUGCCUUUCAGUGGGGGACAACAGUUGGAAACGACUGCUAAUACCGCAUGAUGCUUUUGGGAGACAUCUCCCGGAAGCCAAAGCUUUAUGUGCUGAAAGAUGGCCUCGCGUCUGAUUAGCUAGUUGGUGAGGUAACGG